CAAUAAGAAGAAACAACACACUCAGUUGGAGAUGCGACCCGUCAAAUAGACAGUUGUUGACGCGUCUCCUCCUCCCUUCUACUCUGAGCGAGAGCAAGGACUGUUUGACUUCUCCACGUUGGGUGUUCAGGAGCCGUCCCAGAUACUGAUAUCAAACCUGAUACCGAGGGAGUUCCGUUUCACAUCGGUGUCUCCUGAGUGAUCGAACGGGGAAUCUACGACAUAUCCAACGCUGUCAUCCGGAGAAGCCGCCACGCCUGUUUGACAUCCACGCUUCAUACAUCCUGUUUUGAUUCACUUCAGUUACAUCUCCAAAGUAUGCGGGACUUUUGGGGUUGAGCUGUUUUUACUUUUGUGACGCAGCACAUAAAGCAACACGCCUUCAUCGCUAUCCAUCACACACAC
Long non-coding RNA from Gasterosteus aculeatus aculeatus (three-spined stickleback), 405 nucleotides. NCBI's taxonomy places the organism in Eukaryota, Metazoa, Chordata, Actinopteri, Perciformes, Gasterosteidae. The record is from Ensembl.